Molecule: ribosomal RNA, 827 nt
Filed under: Lutjanus campechanus (northern red snapper)
Lineage: Eukaryota; Metazoa; Chordata; Actinopteri; Lutjaniformes; Lutjanidae
Description: partial small subunit ribosomal RNA
Rfam family: Bacterial small subunit ribosomal RNA
Source: RNAcentral
UAAAGGUUCGGUCCUGACUUUACUAUCAACUUUAGCUAAACUUACACAUGCAAGUAUCCGCACCCCUGUGAGAAUGCCCUACAGUUCCCUGCUCGGGAACAAGGAGCCGGUAUCAGGCACACCCCAAAUACAGCCCAUGACACCUUGCUUAGCCACACCCCCAAGGGAACUCAGCAGUGAUAAACAUUAAGCCAUAAGUGAAAACUUGACUUAGUUAAAGCUAAGAGGGUCGGUAAAACUCGUGCCAGCCACCGCGGUUAUACGAGAGACCCAAGUUGUUAGACACCGGCGUAAAGAGUGGUUAAGAUACCCCCCCCCCCCCAACUAAAGCCGAACGCCCUCAGAGCUGUUAUACGCAUCCGAAGGUAAGAAGCCCGACCACGAAAGUGGCUUUAUAUUGUCCGAACCCACGAAAGCUAUGACACAAACUGGGAUUAGAUACCCCACUAUGCCUAGCCAUAAACAUUGAUAGCUAACUACACCCACUAUCCGCCCGGGGACUACGAGCAUCAGCUUGAAACCCAAAGGACUUGGCGGUGCUUUAGAUCCACCUAGAGGAGCCUGUUCUAGAACCGAUUACCCCCGUUCAACCUCACCUUUCCUUGUUUUCCCCGCCUAUAUACCACCGUCGUCAGCUUACCCUGUGAAGGACUCAUAGUAAGCAAGAUUGGCACAGCCCAAAACGUCAGGUCGAGGUGUAGCGUAUGGAAAGGGAAGAAAUGGGCUACAUUCCCUAAUACAGUGAAAUACGACGAUACACUGAAAUACGUAUCCGAAGGAGGAUUUAGCAGUAAGCAGAAAAUAGAGCGUUCCGCUGAAACCGGCCC